CCGGCGGAUGUACAGGUUGGUACUGGGAGGAAGAAUACAUUGAACACAUUAAGAAAUCUUUUGCACAGGUUGUUGAGGCUGAAGGUGGUGAGGCAGUGAGCCGACGAAAGGAGUUCAAUGAUGUUGAUCAAGCGAAUGAUCUAUCUAUUAUAGUUGGGAUCGGACGCGAACUAAUUAUGUUGCUUAAGUGCAUUUUAGUUUUGUUUUUUUAAUGCUAGUUGCGAUUGUAUUUGUUAUAGCCAAGCUUUCCUAAAUUAAUCAACUAUGUAUCUUAGACAUGUUGUGCAAUAAGAUGAGAAACUAUAUGUGUGCAUGGUUUUCAUAAUAUAUAUGUUAUCUUUAAUGCAGAUGGUAACACGUAAUUGGCUGUAUAAUGCCGAUCGGCGCUCCGAAGAGUUCAUUA
RNAcentral lists this long non-coding RNA (403 nucleotides) under Sorghum bicolor (sorghum). RNAcentral describes it as "long non-coding RNA (SBIC_LNC004594)". Lineage: Eukaryota; Viridiplantae; Streptophyta; Magnoliopsida; Poales; Poaceae. The record is from RNAcentral.